AUUGAACGCUGGCGGCAUGCUUUACACAUGCAAGUCGAACGGCAGCGGGGGCUUCGGCCCGCCGGCGAGUGGCGAACGGGUGAGUAAUGCAUCGGAACGUGCCCAGUCGUGGGGGAUAACACAUCGAAAGAUGUGCUAAUACCGCAUACGUCCUGAGGGAGAAAGCGGGGGAUCUUCGGACCUCGCGCGAUUGGAGCGGCCGAUGUCGGAUUAGCUAGUUGGUGGGGUAAAAGCCCACCAAGGCGACGAUCCGUAGCGGGUCUGAGAGGAUGAUCCGCCACACUGGGACUGAGACACGGCCCAGACUCCUACGGGAGGCAGCAGUGAGGAAUAUUGGUCAAUGGGCGAGAGCCUGAACCAGCCAAGUCGCGUGCAGGAAGAAUGUCCUAUGGAUUGUAAACUGCUUUUGCAGGGGAAUAAAGUGAGCCACGUGUGGUUUUUGUAUGUACUCUGCGAAUAAGGAUCGGCUAACUCCGUGCC
This 480-nucleotide ribosomal RNA is filed under the name uncultured bacterium. RNAcentral's name for it is "bacterial SSU rRNA". It matches the Rfam family "Bacterial small subunit ribosomal RNA", at positions 30 to 509 of the family's 1533-position model. The record is from RNAcentral.